This 2262-nucleotide long non-coding RNA is filed under the name Homo sapiens (human). RNAcentral's name for it is "PREDICTED lncRNA (TCONS_00101126)". Lineage: Eukaryota; Metazoa; Chordata; Mammalia; Primates; Hominidae. The record is from RNAcentral.
ACUGGAAUUACUGUAUACAUGCGGGACUUAGGAAUCUGUGUUUUGACCAAGAGGCCAGGUGAUUCUUCUGCUCAGUUAGUGCUGGGAAACAGUGCUAAGAAGGAUACAGUGGCUAGAAGUCGUCCUGUCGUCCUGCCUCACAGUAACAUCGUUACCGAAUUCUCAGCAGGUGAACCAAAUGAAAUGGUCAACUGAAAGCCAACCAGGGGUCUUGUCCUGUCACUCUGGCUGGAAUACAAUGGCGUAAUCAUAGCUCACUGCGGCCUCCAUCUCCUGGGUUCAAGUGAUUCUCCUGCUUCAGCUUCCCAAGUAUCUGGGACUACAGGCAUGUACUACCAGAACUGGAUAAAUUUUUUAUUUUUAUUUUUUAUUAUUAUUUUUUUUGAGACGGAAUAUCGCUCUGUCGCCCAGGCUGGAGUGCAGUGGUGCAAUCUCGGCUCACUGCAAGCUCCGUCUCCCAGGUUCACGCCAUUCUCCUGCCUCAGCCUCCCAAGUAGCUGGGACUAAAGGCGCCCGCUACCAUGCUUGGCUAAUUUUUAUGUAUUUUUAGUAGAGAUGGAGUUUCACCACGUUAGCCAGGAUGGUCUCGAUCUCCUGACCUUGUGAUCUGCCCUCCUCGGCCUCCCAAAGUGCUGGGAUUACAGACGUGAGCCACUGUGCCCGGCUAUUUUCUUAAAAUUUUUAGUAGAGGCAGGUUCUCACUAUGUUGCCCAAGCUGGUCUUGAACUUCCAAGCUGAAGCAGUCCUCCCAUCUUGGCCUCCAAAAAUGUUGGGAUUACCAGCAUUUUUGUGAGUGAGCCACCGCACCCAGCCAAAAGAUGUAUUUUAAACCAUUAAGAACUCUGACCUCCUGAGAGUCUCCUCAGAGGGGAAUUUGGGUGCCUCUUAGAGGCCAGCCCUUUAAAUUACCCUCAGGAUAUGAGACAGGGUGAAGGGAGUUCUGACUGAAAAUGCAUAGUAGGCCCAAGGUGGUGCUUAUGUCUGUAAACCCAGCAUUUGGGGAGGCCAAGGUGGGCAUAUCACUUGAGGUGAGGAGUUCGAGACCAGCCUGGCCAACGUGAUGAAACCCCGUCUCUAUUAAAAAUACGAAAAUUAGCCAGCCAUGGUGGCGGGCACCUGUAAUCCCAGCUACUCGGGAGGCUGAGGCAGGCGAACUGCUUGAACCCGGGAGGUGGAGGUUGCAGUGAGAUAAGAUCGCACCACUGCACUCCAGCCUGGGCGACAGAGUGAGACUCUGUCUCAUUUAAAAAAAAAAAGAAAAAGGGCCGGGCACGGUGGCUCAUGCCUGUACUCCCAGCACUUUGGGAGGCCGAGGCAGGCAGAUCAUGAGGUCAAGAGAUUGAGACCAUCCUGGUCAACAUGGUGAAACCCCGUCUCUACUAAAAAUACAACAAUUAGCUGGGUGUGGUGGCGCACGCCUGUAGUCCCAGCUACUAGGGAGUCUGAGGCGGGAGCAUCAUUUGAACCCGGGAGGCAGAGCUUGAAGUGAGCCAAGAUCGCGCCACCGCACUCCAGCCUGGCAACAGAGUGAGACUCCAUCUUAAAAAAAAAAGAAAAAGAAAAAGAAUGCAUAGUAGAUGCAAUUCACAGAAAAGAAGAAAAGAUUCUAUUUACACUUUUUGUAUUUGAGCUUUCAUAGACUUUUUCUUCCCUUAACCACUGCAGCAAAAAAUCACCAUGUACCAACCUAUCCAAACUUAUCCAUGGAUGAAUCUAUCCAGAAGACGGGAGUUCCGAUGCUUGUCUUGCUCUGAAUGUCUGCUUGUCACCUGCUUAGGGUUAUCGACUGUGAUUCUGGGACUCAUUGUUGUUCUACAGGACCCCUCUGACUCUGUGGUUUUCUCUACUGGAUUAACAAUGAUAGCCAUAGGUGCUUUUUUUGUUGUCCUCACUGGAGUGACAGCCCUGUGUACGGUUACAGUCGACGAGAACUUGCAGAAAACCACGAGGCUAAGACUAGGAGUGAUACGAAAAAGCGGAAGUCUCCAAGGAACUACAGAGCCUUCCAUGACUCACUCAAUAAUCGCUAGCACCUCGCUGUAGUUGUACAUUGAACCCUGGCAUCUUCGUCUUUGGAACUAAGUCUCCUGAGCAUUGUUUUUAAAUAGAAAUAAAAUCUGGCUUUUAAAAAAACUCUUGUAAUCCCAGCAGUUUGGGAGGCCAAGGUGGGUGGAUCACAAGGUCAGGAGUUCGAGACCAGCCUGGCCAACAUGGUGAAACCCCGUCUCUACUAAAAAUGGAAAAAUUAGCCAGGUGUGGUGG